RNAcentral lists this ribosomal RNA (484 nucleotides) under uncultured bacterium. RNAcentral describes it as "partial 16S ribosomal RNA". It matches the Rfam family "Bacterial small subunit ribosomal RNA", at positions 30 to 507 of the family's 1533-position model. The record is from RNAcentral.
AUUGAACGCUGGCGGAAUGCUUUACACAUGCAAGUCGAACGGCAGCACGGGGGCAACCCUGGUGGCGAGUGGCGAACGGGUGAGUAAUACAUCGGAACGUGCCCGGUCGUGGGGGAUAACGUAGCGAAAGUUACGCUAAUACCGCAUACGAUCUGAGGAUGAAAGCGGGGGACCUUCGGGCCUCGCGCGAUCGGAGCGGCCGAUGUCAGAUUAGGUAGUUGGUGGGGUAAAGGCCUACCAAGCCGACGAUCUGUAGCUGGUCUGAGAGGACGACCAGCCACACUGGGACUGAGACACGGCCCAGACUCCUACGGGAGGCAGCAGUGGGGAAUUUUGGACAAAGGGCGCAAGCCUGAUCCAGCCAUUCCGCGUGCAGGACGAAGGCCUUCGGGUUGUAAACUGCUUUUGUAUGGAACGAAAAGGCUCUGGCUAAUACCUGGGGCUCAUGACGGUACCGUAAGAAUAAGCACCGGCUAACUACGUG